GCUUGCUUAGGCAGAACAUUUAUUAAUACUAGAACGACACCGAGAAGCUUAGCCUAGCCCCUGUACAAGAAUGACCCCAAAUGUAAAGCACUACACACACAC
Arvicanthis niloticus (Nile rat) is the source of this 102-nucleotide non-coding RNA. The record is from RefSeq and is a predicted model, not a curated record. Lineage: Eukaryota; Metazoa; Chordata; Mammalia; Rodentia; Muridae.